UACGGAGGGGACUAGCGUUGUUCGGAAUUACUGGGCGUAAAGCGCACGUAGGCGGAUUUGUUAGUCAGGGGUGAAAUCCCGAGGCUCAACCUCGGAACUGCCUUUGAUACUGCAAAUCUCGAGUCCGGAAGAGGUGAGUGGAAUUCCUAGUGUAGAGGUGAAAUUCGUAGAUAUUAGGAAGAACACCAGUGGCGAAAGCGGCGCGCUAGACACCUACUGACGCUGAGGCACGAAAGCCAGGGGAGCAAACGGG
This 253-nucleotide ribosomal RNA is filed under the name uncultured bacterium. Its description in RNAcentral is "partial 16S ribosomal RNA". It matches the Rfam family "Bacterial small subunit ribosomal RNA", at positions 524 to 776 of the family's 1533-position model. The record is from RNAcentral.